CAUGCUGCAGAGGGCAUGUGUUAGUGUGUAAAUGGAGAGUUACACACUCAAUAUGGGAAUGGGGUUUGUGGCCACCCUUCUUUCUGUAAAUGCUGAGAGAGCACCAAGAGGCACCCAGACCCAGUCAUCCAAGAACUGUCAUCUGAUCUGAGGGCCACUAUUGCCACACAUGGGGCGUAUCGCCCUAAAACUGACCCCAAAACAGCCACCAAGCACAGUACUGCCCACAGUCCUGCCCACAGUCCUGCUCAACCUGCAGUUCGCUGUUCAAAAACUCUAGACCCCAGGUCUCUUCACCUCCAAUUCCAGGAUCAUUAGAAAAUAACAGCUAGGUGAGUUUGAUCCGAGUUGGAGCUAAACUCUGAAGCAGACUGGACCUCCAGGGCAAGAUUUGAGGAAUCCUGUAGUACAUCUUUUGUCUGAGUAGACCUCUGACCCAGACAUCCCCACUUGAGCCGUAGCUAUGCAUUCACUGACCCACUCUGUUAGAGAUGGAGACAAGGAGGCAUUGCAGAACAAGGACAAACCACUAACACUCUUUCUGGAAAACCAGGAACAUGGAGACUCCUUUGUGUAUCUGUCUGCCAUUCAAGAUUCUGCAGGGACAGGUUCUCCCUAGAGACAUGCCUCAAAGGGGGCGAGGUUUUAAAGAGAGCCAGCAGGGCCAUGGGUGAGCACCAG
Carassius gibelio (silver crucian carp) is the source of this 681-nucleotide long non-coding RNA. RefSeq lists it as uncharacterized. The record is from RefSeq and is a predicted model, not a curated record. Lineage: Eukaryota; Metazoa; Chordata; Actinopteri; Cypriniformes; Cyprinidae. The transcript has 3 exons.